Molecule: ribosomal RNA, 1010 nt
Filed under: uncultured Ascomycota
Lineage: Eukaryota; Fungi; Ascomycota
Description: eukaryotic LSU rRNA
Rfam family: Eukaryotic large subunit ribosomal RNA
Source: RNAcentral
UGGUUGACCUCGGAUCAGGUAGGGAUACCCGCUGAACUUAAGCAUAUCAAUAAGCGGAGGAAAGAAACCAACAGGGAUUGCCUCAGUAACGGCGAGUGAAGCGGCAAAAGCUCAAAUUUGAAAUCUGGCUCUUUCAGGGUCCGAGUUGUAAUUUGUAGAAGAUGCUUCGGGUGUGGUCCCGGUCUAAGUUCCUUGGAACAGGACGUCAUAGAGGGUGAGAAUCCCGUAUGUGACUGGGUACCUACGCUCAUGUGAAGCUCUUUCGACGAGUCGAGUUGUUUGGGAAUGCAGCUCAAAAUGGGUGGUAAAUUUCAUCUAAAGCUAAAUAUUGGCCAGAGACCGAUAGCGCACAAGUAGAGUGAUCGAAAGAUGAAAAGCACUUUGGAAAGAGAGUUAAACAGUACGUGAAAUUGUUGAAAGGGAAGCGCUUGCAAUCAGACUUGCGCCUAGUUGAUCACCCGGGCUUCUGCCCGGUGCACUCGAUUAGGCUCAGGCCAGCAUCGGUUUGGGUGGUUGGAUAAAGGCUUGGGGAACGUAGCCUCCUUCGGGGGGUGCUAUAGCCCCAGGUGCAAUGCAGCCUACCUGGACCGAGGACCGCGCUUCGGCUAGGAUGCUGGCGUAAUGGUUGUAAGCGACCCGUCUUGAAACACGGACCAAGGAGUCUAACAUUUAUGCGAGUGUUUGGGUGUUAAACCCAUACGCGUAAUGAAAGUGAACGGAGGUAAGAACCCUUAAGGGUGCAUUAUCGACCGAUCCUGAUGUCUUCGGAUGGAUUUGAGUAAGAGCAUAACUGUUGGGACCCGAAAGAUGGUGAUCUAUACGUGAAUAGGGUGAAGCCAGAGGAAACUCUGGUGGGGGCUCGCAGCGGUACUGACGUGCAAAUCGAUCGUCAAAUUUGCGUAUAGGGGCGAAAGACUAAUCGAACCAUCUAGUAGCUGGUUCCUGCCGAAGUUUCCCUCAGGAUAGCAGUGUUGUUUUCAGUUUUAUGAGGUAAAGCGAAUGAUUAAAGG